UGGGGAAUAUUGCACAAUGGGCGAAAGCCUGAUGCAGCAACGCCGCGUGAGUGAUGAAGGCCUUCGGGUUGUAAAGCUCUGUCUUUUGGGACGAUAAUGACGGUACCAAAGGAGGAAACCACGGCUAACUACGUGCCAGCAGCCGCGGUAAUACGUAGGUGGCAAGCGUUGUCCGGAUUUUACUGGGCGUAAAGGAUGCGUAGGCGGAUUUUUAAGUGAGAUGUGAAAACCCUAAGCUUAACUUGGGGACUGCAUUUCAUACUGGAAAUCUAGAGUGCGGGAGAGGAGAAUGGAAUUCCUAGUGUAGCGGUGAAAUGCGUAGAGAUUAGGAAGAACACCAGUGGCGAAGGCGAUUCUCUGGACCGUAACUGACGCUGAGGCAUGAAAGCGUGGGUAGCAAACAGGAUUAGAUACCCUGGUAGUCCACGCCGUAAACGAUGAGUACUAGGUGUAGGAGGUAUCGACCCCUUCUGUGCCGCAGUUAACACAAUAAGUACUCCGCCUGGGAAGUACGAUCGCAAGAUUAAAAACUUAAAUGAAUUGACGGGGUCAUAGCUGUUUCCU
Molecule: ribosomal RNA, 564 nt
Filed under: uncultured bacterium
Lineage: Bacteria
Description: partial 16S ribosomal RNA
Rfam family: Bacterial small subunit ribosomal RNA
Source: RNAcentral